Small nuclear RNA from Nomascus leucogenys (northern white-cheeked gibbon), 98 nucleotides. NCBI's taxonomy places the organism in Eukaryota, Metazoa, Chordata, Mammalia, Primates, Hylobatidae. The record is from Ensembl.
GUGCUCACUUACUUCAAUAGCAUAUAUACUAAAAUUGGAAAGACACAGGGAAGAUUAGCAUGGCCCCUGCACAAAUUCGUGAAGUGCUCAAUUUUUUA